GGAUGUGAGGGUCAUCUGGCUGCGAUAUCUGUCACCCCACUGAUCACCAAGGUUGAUUCAGCUGAUCUGGCUGGUCAGCAGGUGCCGCUUCCUCCCACAGCACUCCACGUGCACCCCUUCCGGAGCUGCGCUCUCAGCGGAAGAGGACGACCACCGCCCAUAGAGGAGGACUGUUCCUUGGUCAAGGGUAUAUGAGUAACUGCGCUCCCCUGCCAAAACCGCCAAACAAGCUCCUAAAGGCUAAUCAGAUGAGAACCUAUUAGCUACCUCGCAGUCAGUGAUUUCCAUGCCUUGAGCUAU
This 300-nucleotide small nuclear RNA is filed under the name Chinchilla lanigera (long-tailed chinchilla). RNAcentral describes it as "7SK RNA (ENSCLAG00000021547.1)". It matches the Rfam family "7SK RNA". Rfam says of the family: 7SK was discovered as an abundant small nuclear RNA in the mid-70s but a possible function has only recently been suggested. Two independent studies have found that 7SK RNA binds the CDK9/cyclin T complex (known as elongation factor P-TEFb). The record is from RNAcentral. Lineage: Eukaryota; Metazoa; Chordata; Mammalia; Rodentia; Chinchillidae.